This 1349-nucleotide ribosomal RNA is filed under the name uncultured bacterium. Its description in RNAcentral is "bacterial SSU rRNA". It matches the Rfam family "Bacterial small subunit ribosomal RNA", at positions 18 to 1390 of the family's 1533-position model. The record is from RNAcentral.
CCUGGCUCAUGACGAACGCUGGCGGCGCGCCUAACACAUGCAAGUCGAACGAGCGAGAGAGAGCUUGCUUUCUCAAGCGAGUGGCGAACGGGUGAGUAACGCGUGAGGAACCUGCCUCAAAGAGGGGGACAACAGUUGGAAACGACUGCUAAUACCGCAUAAGCCCACGGUGCCGCAUGGCACAGAGGGAAAAGGAGCAAUCCGCUUUGAGAUGGCCUCGCGUCCGAUUAGCUAGUUGGUGAGGUAAUGGCCCACCAAGGCGACGAUCGGUAGCCGGACUGAGAGGUUGAACGGCCACAUUGGGACUGAGACACGGCCCAGACUCCUACGGGAGGCAGCAGUGGGGAAUAUUGCACAAUGGGGAAACCCUGAUGCAGCGACGCCGCGUGGAGGAAGAAGGUCUUCGGAUUGUAAACUCCUGUUGUUGAGGAAGAUAAUGACGGUACUCAACAAGGAAGUGACGGCUAACUACGUGCCAGCAGCCGCGGUAAAACGUAGGUCACAAGCGUUGUCCGGAAUUACUGGGUGUAAAGGGAGCGCAGCGGGAAGACAAGUUGGAAGUGAAAUCUAUGGGCUCAACCCAUAAACUGCUUUCAAAACUGUUUUUCUUGAGUAGUGCAGAGGUAGGCGGAAUUCCCGGUGUAGCGGUGGAAUGCGUAGAUAUCGGGAGGAACACCAGUGGCGAAGGCGGCCUACUGGGCACCAACUGACGCUGAGGCUCGAAAGUGUGGGUAGCAAACAGGAUUAGAUACCCUGGUAGUCCACACCGUAAACGAUGAUUACUAGGUGUUGGAGGAUUGACCCCUUCAGUGCCGCAGUUAACACAAUAAGUAAUCCACCUGGGGAGUACGACCGCAAGGUUGAAACUCAAAGGAAUUGACGGGGGCCCGCACAAGCAGUGGAGUAUGUGGUUUAAUUCGACGCAACGCGAAGAACCUUACCAAGUCUUGACAUCCUGCGACGGACAUAGAAAUAUGUCUUUCCUUCGGGACGCAGAGACAGGUGGUGCAUGGUUGUCGUCAGCUCGUGUCGUGAGAUGUUGGGUUAAGUCCCGCAACGAGCGCAACCCUUAUGGUCAGUUACUACGCAAGAGGACUCUGGCCAGACUGCCGUUGACAAAACGGAGGAAGGUGGGGAUGACGUCAAAUCAUCAUGCCCUUUAUGACUUGGGCUACACACGUACUACAAUGGCGUUAAACAAAGAGAAGCAAGACCGCGAGGUGGAGCAAAACUCAGAAACAACGUCCCAGUUCGGACUGCAGGCUGCAACUCGCCUGCACGAAGUCGGAAUUGCUAGUAAUCGCAGAUCAGCAUGCUGCGGUGAAUACGUUCCCGGGCCUUGCACACAC